CUUCAGAGCUAUGUCCUCAGACUUUCUUUAGUUCACUGCUGUCCUGAAGUGUUCCUUCCUCCAAAGCCUUCAUUUGAGGGGCUCAGGAGAAUUCCUACCAGACAGAGAAUAGUAUGAGCAAAUGUGAAGACAAGUGUGGUCCACGGACAUGGAUUUAUUCAUGCAGCACAUGGUGAAUGCAUGCUCACCGUGUCCCAAGCCCGGGAUAGCAUGUGAAGAUAAAGAAGACCUGGACCCUGUCACAGGCUUACGUGGCAGACAAACACAGAGGCAAUUAUAACACCGUGUGCGCAGAACGACGAUGAAGACAUGUGGAAGUGGGAUUUCUGGCUUGGGCGAUUGGAUGCUGACACCAUCAUUCACCAAGACAGAAAAUGCAGGUUCUGGGGGAAAAGAUACAUUAAAUUUGGG
Long non-coding RNA from Hipposideros armiger (great roundleaf bat), 411 nucleotides. RefSeq lists it as uncharacterized. The record is from RefSeq and is a predicted model, not a curated record. Lineage: Eukaryota; Metazoa; Chordata; Mammalia; Chiroptera; Hipposideridae. The transcript has 4 exons.